GAUGAACGCUAGCGGCAGGCCUAAUACAUGCAAGUCGAACGGGAUCCAGAUCAAAGCUUGCUUUGGUCUGGUGAGAGUGGCGCACGGGUGCGUAACGCGUGAGCAACCUACCCUUGUCAGGGGGAUAGCCCGGCGAAAGUCGGAUUAAUACCGCAUGGCAUCAUUGAGAGGCAUCUUUCGAUGAUCAAAGAUUUAUCGGACAAGGAUGGGCUCGCGUGACAUUAGCUAGUUGGUAAGGUAACGGCUUACCAAGGCUGCGACGUCUAGGGGCUCUGAGAGGAGAACUCCCCACAU
Molecule: ribosomal RNA, 294 nt
Filed under: uncultured bacterium
Lineage: Bacteria
Description: partial 16S ribosomal RNA
Rfam family: Bacterial small subunit ribosomal RNA
Source: RNAcentral